Molecule: long non-coding RNA, 903 nt
Filed under: Cairina moschata (Muscovy duck)
Lineage: Eukaryota; Metazoa; Chordata; Aves; Anseriformes; Anatidae
Description: domestica (muscovy Duck (domestic type)) lncRNA (ENSCMMG00000014235.1)
Source: RNAcentral
GUCCCUUUAUACCACCUGGACCUACCGCGGUUUUCCAGACACUACCUGCAUGAAGGACGGAGCGGUUAUGAGGGGCUGUAUUCAUUCAUGAGAUGCAGCUCACGUGUGCAUCAGGAACCAGAUGGACCCAUCGGGAUCAGAGCAAUCUCCAGUCUUGAACUCUGUCUCACUUUUGCUGGUGAAGCCCAAAUCUGAGGCUGUGUUCAAACCAGUCUCUUCUUCCUCUCCUCUAAGCAAGCAAUGAAAUGGCAGCCCCUCUCCUGAGGAGGAAACACAGUACCUACCCCACACUUGGCCUGGCAGCUCAUGACAUCUAUGCACUAGCCCAGCAGCAGAAAGUCCAAGCUCACUCUUCCUAAGCAAGAACCAAUGCCUUGGGGCCCAAAGCCAAGCUCGCAGCCACACAUACGGAGAAAAAGCACAGAGGGUAAAAAAGUCUGCAUUUAAGACCACCCUUGACCCGCAACAUGCUUUCACCAGCAACAUUGCUCCAGCAUUGAAGUGGGGAGGCUUCCAUGCAGACAAAACUGUAAGGGCUGCAUUGUCAUCUCUCUGGGACGGCUCCUAAUGGUCAAAAAGUUCUUCACUUAAGUUCAUGAUCAUCACAGGUCCGGUUACCAAAAGAGAUUCAUCUGUUUGAACCUUGAUAUGUGUGAGUCUACUCACUGGAAACAAGCAGCCGAUUUAAAAAGAUAUUGGAAGAACAGCUUGGACACAGAGAAAGGAAUGACCUGGAGUCUUAAAAAACAGACAAGCUUUUCAGUAGCUUGGCACUUGGAACAAGAAGCUAAAAGUCACAUAAGGCCCUGCUCCAUGUUCUUCAGGAUAUCACAGCAGUCAGCAGCCCCAGCGAUUGGCAGCGGCAGCACAGUGACUCACCAGGCCUGGCCCUCCUUGCGCUGA